UAUAUAUAUAGAAAAAGAGGUUAAAAUCACACUAUGGAUGCUAAAUUAAUCAACCUCGAAUGUUUUAUCUAGAAAUAUAUUUUAUAUUUAGAUGACUAUCAAAAAUACAUAUUGAUUGGUGUUCUGUAACAUUAAAAUUUGGAUUUUGCUAUUUUUAAUUUUUCUUAAGGAAUAAAAAAUAUAGAGAUUUCACGGUUUUAUAUGUUUUAAUUAACUACAAUUAAUAUUAUUUUUAAAAAAUAAAAGUGAGGUAUUUAUUAUAAAAAUUAAUACACUAUUUAAAACAUUGUGAUUAUUGAAACAAAAAUACUAAUCAAAAUUUAUCGAAGAAAAUAAAUUAUUAUUAUUAAAAUAAGUCACUAAUAUAUAAUGAAAAAACAAAAACUAAUGUGAAAUUCUUUUUAUUAUUUUUGUGUUCCUGAAACUAAAACAUCAAAUAAAACCCGUGCAACGCACGGGUCCAUAUCUAGUAGAAAAUAAAUUAGACUGGUUUAGUAACUUUCUUGGUUUAUAAUUUUAUAUAAUUUGCCACAAUAUAAGUUCUGUCUCUAUACGUUGUUUUGGAUUAAAAGCUGUGGGCUGCUCUUGGAUUCCCUGGACUCUUAUAUUUCGGCCGAAUGAAUAAAAGAUUAUAUGAAACUAUGGGCUACUCUUUUUCAACUUUUUAACUUUUAUAUAUUCUGGAAAAAAUCAUAUCAUUGAUAAUGCAAAUAAAUCAAAUUUUAGUGAGUUGCAGAAGCUUUGAAGGCGGCAAAAGAGUGGCAGGAGUCUCUUCCUCCACGAAAACAAAACUCUGUUUCACCUAAAGAUCUUCAUGCUUCGAGCACAACUCCUAAGGUCCCGGAAAAUUCCUUUAUGUUGUUCUCGGAUGCGGCUUGGAAUUCUUCUUCUCUUGCAGGUGGACUCGGCUGGGUAUGUACAGAUUCGAGAGGCACACUCUGUUUCGAAGGAUCCGACAAUGGACGCUACAUUGUGUCAGCUCUUGCAGCAGAAGCCUUGGCUCUGCGUUCAGGCCUUUCGAAGGCUAUGUCCGUUGGAAUUAAAGACGUGGUCUAUUUCUCAGACUCUAAAAGUCUUAUCGAUUUAAACACAGGGAACAAAUCUGUGAUUGCACUGCGAGGGGUACUCCAUGAUAUAGGUUGGCAAAGAGCUCUCUGUUUCAGCUCACAAACAAUCUCUCUGAGAUUGGAAACGUUGUUAUGUUUUAAGAUAAUCUAAUGGAAAAAUGUUUGACCACGUGCGGAAAAUGAAAAUUUAAAAUAUACUUAUAUAUUUCAAACAAGAUACACAUCCUAUUUUAAAAAUGUAUAAAAAGAGAAUAAGAAAAUCAAUCAUUUAGAGAAUGGAAAUUAACAGAUUUUGUUAGGCCAAAUAGAAAAUGAUAAUUAGUUCUUUAAUUAAUUUGAUUAGAAUAUGGUUUAUCUUCCAAUUAAGCUAUUGCAUUGCAAUAAAUGAUUCUUAUUUGAAUAAGGCAAGUGGGACCGUAUCCAACGAGGAAAAGCCUCAAACACAGUCAGCAACACGUUUCAUGCGGCGACCCUGACAGUGAUGCAUAUAACGUUUUGUUUAAUUGAUAAUCAUAAAAUCAUAAUAUUUUCAUGAAAAAAUUACAUAAUAGAUCACAUUUACACUUAUUAAUAACACCAUAGGUCACUUUCUUCUACCCACACACUUUCUCUGGCUUUUUGUUCAGUUUUCGUUGUGGUUUACUAACCAAAACGUAACUAUAUUGCAAUUAGUGGGUCCCAAUUCUCCUCUUCUUCACAUCUUGUUUCUUUUCUUUUUCUUUUUUAGAUCUCCUCUGAAAUUUCGCCCGUGAAACCAUUGAUUUUAUAAUGAAUAUCCUCCACAUCAAUAAUUCUCUUUCUCCUCUAGAUCCAACCCUCGCCUCUUCAUCACAACUUCUCGAAUUAUCACUAUACUCCUCCACCAUUACUGCAUCUUCUAACGCCGCUGCAAUCAAUUUUUCGGAGAGCUUCGCCUCUUCCUCUCCCUGCUCAGCUCCUCCCUCAAAUAUCUCGUCGUUGUGAUGUCUCAUCCGCCUGUGGUCGUUGCUUUUCGUUGCGUCUCCUCGACAUAAGCUUCUCCACAUAUCAAGCCCAAGACCUCUCCACCUAUGGGUCAUGCUCUCAGCCUUCGCCGUCAUUGGAAUCAAGCCUCGCUGUGUCAUUGGAAUCAAGCCUCGCUGUCGUGUCUCUGCUCCGUCGUAGCCGGCUCGCCUUCGUCGUCUGUUAAAGGCAAGAAGAUCGCUCAAGCAACAUCAGUGGAGGAGUAUCAUCUUUUUGCACUUUUGGUCCUCUAGUUUUCUGCUUCUUUUACAAUAUACCUUAAACUUCCAAUCUUAUUAAAUUGCUUUAAAAAUUUACCGCAUUGUACAUGUGUACAUGUAAUUUUACUGAUCAUUGUGUACAUUAUACCUAUUGUACAUGUGUACACGUAAUUAGAAUAUAUAUCAAACAUGUGAGUAAAAAAUA
This is a long non-coding RNA of Brassica napus (rape), 2474 nucleotides long. RefSeq lists it as uncharacterized. The transcript has 2 exons. The record is from RefSeq and is a predicted model, not a curated record. Lineage: Eukaryota; Viridiplantae; Streptophyta; Magnoliopsida; Brassicales; Brassicaceae.